Molecule: long non-coding RNA, 415 nt
Organism: Parus major (Great Tit)
Lineage: Eukaryota; Metazoa; Chordata; Aves; Passeriformes; Paridae
Source: Ensembl
CCAGCAGCCUGAGUAGCCACACGGCUCUGGGCACAGUGUGUCUGGCAGGAGAGGAAACAAGUAAAGGUGCACAGAAGAAGCUGAGGAGCAUUUGGAGGUCCUGCUAGCAAAAAGAGCUUGGAUGCUGAAGGCCUUUGGAAGAGGGAAACCCCCCAGGUGGUGAAGUGGAGGAACACCAUCUCCAGGGGAAGCUCCAUCAGAAAGUCUGGGACUGCAAGUGCUGUCUGUCACCUUGCUCAUCUUGAGCCUGGUGAAAUGCUACAUCCACCUUUCCACAGCUAGCAGGAUGUGACCUUUGCAAAGGAGAAGAGGUGUAGGAAGAAAACGUAUUUUUUAGAAGUGAGUGCUUGAGAGAUUAUAAUUUAUGCAAAUCCUUUCAGGGUAGAUCUCAUUGGGGGUUUUUUUUGAACCAAAC